Molecule: non-coding RNA, 945 nt
Organism: Pogona vitticeps (central bearded dragon)
Lineage: Eukaryota; Metazoa; Chordata; Lepidosauria; Squamata; Agamidae
Source: RefSeq, a predicted model, not a curated record
GUUUUCACAAGACAGCAGUUUUGACAGAAUGGAUUAACAUCGUUUAGCGAGGCGCCACUGUAUUCUAUUCUCUACUACAUGGACUCUCCAGUUAAGACGCAGAGUGCCCAUUGAUGUGUUUCAAAUUUACAAGACAAUAAUGUAGGAAGAUAUACUGAGGGUAUGUCUAAAGAAGGUGCGGAGAUACAAGGGUAGCUGCCUGAAUAUACUACAAGCUCUGUAGCCAAGCAGGCUAAGAAGAAUCUAGGUUCCCAUUGUUUAUUGUCUGCCAUUCUAAAAACAAACAAAAAACCCCACAGGUAUUUCUGCUUAUUAAGAUAUUCAGAAGUUUUUUUGAAUAUAUAUGCCAAAUGAAUUUGGUAGAUCAAAAUUAAACUUUUUUUAGGCCCUGAAAUUCCAGGCCCUGAAUUUUUUUUUCAAAUUGGCUUAUUUUCCCAGAAAAUCAAUUUACUGAUUUUCUUCAUAAAAGGGCCAGAAUGUGGGUAUUAAGCCAUAUCUGCUGUAAGGGAUUCUGAGUUGCUUUUUCUUCAGUCCUUCAUUGCUCCUAUUCUCCAGCCGGUUCUUUCCAAGCUGGGUUGCAAUCUAACCCUUUAUUUCCAUUCACCUUUGAGCCACUGGUUUUAGACGAAUUAACACUGCCUUUCCAAACACUACGGUUGCUAUAUUGCCCUCUCUGGGAGGUGUAAUAUAAGGUCUGUUCUACCCACCCACCCAGUCAGUUUUUCACACGGUUAAACAAGUGCCAACUGGUUUCAAUCUCUGAACUAGCCUUCUUAAAUUUUACAAACCCUGGAGUUCAAAGACCUAUAAUCAAUCAGCAUAAGACAUGGUAAUAAACUUGAUGACUGAAUACAAGAUCUGAUCUACGGGAGUGGGUAACAAAAAGUAUGGAAGGGCAUUUUGAACUUUCUAGGAGGCCUUAAUAAACCUAGAAAGUUUCCUGCA